Molecule: ribosomal RNA, 468 nt
Filed under: uncultured bacterium
Lineage: Bacteria
Description: partial 16S ribosomal RNA
Rfam family: Bacterial small subunit ribosomal RNA
Source: RNAcentral
GACGAACGCUGGCGGCGUGCUUAACACAUGCAAGUCGAACGGAAAGGCCCUGCUUUUGUGGGGUGCUCGAGUGGCGAACGGGUGAGUAACACGUGAGUAACCUGCCCUUGACUUUGGGAUAACUUGAGGAAACUGGGGCUAAUACCGGAUAUGAGCUCCUGCUGCAUGGUGGGGGUUGGAAAGUUUCGGCGGUUGGGGAUGGACUCGCGGCUUAUCAGCUUGUUGGUGGGGUAGUGGCUUACCAAGGCUUUGACGGGUAGCCGGCCUGAGAGGGUGACCGGCCACAUUGGGACUGAGAUACGGCCCAGACUCCUACGGGAGGCAGCAGUGGGGAAUAUUGCACAAUGGGCGGAAGCCUGAUGCAGCAACGCCGCGUGCGGGAUGACGGCCUUCGGGUUGUAAACCGCUUUCGCCUGUGACGAAGCGUGAGUGACGGUAAUGGGUAAAGAAGCACCGGCUAACUACGUG